This is a long non-coding RNA of Alosa sapidissima (American shad), 337 nucleotides long. RefSeq lists it as uncharacterized. Lineage: Eukaryota; Metazoa; Chordata; Actinopteri; Clupeiformes; Clupeidae. The record is from RefSeq and is a predicted model, not a curated record. The transcript is spliced from 4 exons.
GUUAAAGGAAUGUUAAGAAGCAACAUUCUUGCUCAUUCUUGUUCAACUUGUCUAUCUUGGUCUGGUUCACUCAUGAACUCAAAAACUCCAGCAGACCUUUGCAAGUGCCAUUGACACAUCAGUGUCACGCAAGUACCUUUAUGGAAACAGUCGGAUUCAAAAUUGAAAACUCUACUAAAAAGGAAUAUGUAUGUUUAUAUUUGGCUUACGAUGACUAUCGCUGGUACAGAAGUAUUGUUAUUGCCACAACCAGGUCAAAUAAGCAUUGAGAAGCUGGACAUCACAAAGAUUAACAAAGGAACGGCUAAUUCACAAUACACUACAAUAUACUUUACUU